GCCAGGCACAAUGGCGCGUGCCUGUAGUCCCAGCUACUUGAAAGGCUGAGACUGGAGGAUCGCUUGAGUCCAGGAGUUCUGGGCUAUAGUGCAUUAUGCCGAUCGGGUGUCCGCACUAAGUUCGGCAUCAAUAUGGUGAUCUCCCGGGAGUGGGGUACCACCAGGUUACCUAAGGAGAGGUGAACCGGCCCAGGUCGGAAACAGAGCAGGUCAAAACUCCCGUGCUCAUCAGUAGUGGGAUCACGAUUGUGAAUAGCCACUGCACUCCAGCCUGGGCAACAUAGCAAGACCACAU
Molecule: unclassified non-coding RNA, 295 nt
Organism: Callithrix jacchus (white-tufted-ear marmoset)
Lineage: Eukaryota; Metazoa; Chordata; Mammalia; Primates; Cebidae
Rfam family: Metazoan signal recognition particle RNA
About the family: The signal recognition particle (SRP) is a universally conserved ribonucleoprotein. It is involved in the co-translational targeting of proteins to membranes.
Source: Ensembl